Protobothrops mucrosquamatus (brown spotted pit viper) is the source of this 354-nucleotide non-coding RNA. The record is from the annotation of a RefSeq genome assembly. NCBI's taxonomy places the organism in Eukaryota, Metazoa, Chordata, Lepidosauria, Squamata, Viperidae.
AUGCACAAAGGUUAUCUGAAUGGAUUUGAAUCAAGCGUCACUUCACAGCCCACCUUGACUCAGCCCGUCUCCCAGUCUGGGUCUCCAGGAAGAACAGUUCAACUCUCCUGUGGCAUCAGCAGCAAUCCAAACACCAUUGCUUGGAUUCAACAAAGAUCUGGAGAAGGUCCUCGCUUUGUGCACUGUGAUGGCUGCAGCAGCAGGGGACCAGGGAUCCCAGACCGAUUCACGGGAACCCGAUCAGGCAACAACGGCUACUUAACCAUCACCAACCUUCAGCCUGAAGACGAGGCCGAUUAUUACUGUUGCAUGUGGUAUAGCAGUGGUAGCGUGUUCCACAGUGAGACAAUCUAA